RNAcentral lists this non-coding RNA (233 nucleotides) under Aeromicrobium marinum. The record is from RNAcentral. Lineage: Bacteria; Bacillati; Actinomycetota; Actinomycetes; Propionibacteriales; Nocardioidaceae.
AGUGUGGUCGACGCAGCUGGUUCGCCUCCUCAUCCAGGGGAGUCGUGGCAACAGGGAAUCCGGUGCAAGACCGGAACUGCCCCGCAGCGGUGAACGGGAACGACCGGUGUCACACGCACUGAGCCCUCUGCCUCGCACGAGGUACGGCUUGGGAAGCGACACCCAGUAGGCGGCGGCGCGCGAGCGCCACCUGGCCCGUGAGUCCGAAGACCUGCCAGUGCCACCCCGUCCCG